AUUGAACGCUGGCGGCAUGCCUUACACAUGCGAGUCGAACGGCCGCACGGGUGCUUGCCUCUGGUGGCGAGUGGCGAACGGGUGAGUAAUACAUCGGAACAUGUCCUGUAGUGGGGGAUAGCACGGCGAAAGCCGGAUUAAUACCGCAUACGAUCUACGGAUGAAAGCGGGGGCACUACGGGCAUCGCGCUAUGGGGUCGGCCGAUGGCUGAUUAGCUAGUUGGUGGGGUAAAGGCCUACCAAGGCGACGAUCAGUAGCCGGUCUGAGAGGGCGACCAGCCACACUGGAACUGAGACACGGCCCAGACUCCUACGGGAGGCAGCAGUGGGGAAUUUUGGACAAUGGGCGAAAGCCUGAUCCAGCAAUGCCGCGUGUGUGAAGAAGGCCUUCGGGUUGUAAAGCACUUUUGUCCGGAAAGAAAACCUUGGCCCUAAUCCGGUCGGGUGAUGACGGUACCGGAAGAAUAAGCACCGGCUAACUACGUG
This 486-nucleotide ribosomal RNA is filed under the name uncultured bacterium. RNAcentral describes it as "partial 16S ribosomal RNA". It matches the Rfam family "Bacterial small subunit ribosomal RNA", at positions 30 to 507 of the family's 1533-position model. The record is from RNAcentral.